RNAcentral lists this ribosomal RNA (1886 nucleotides) under Chroococcus sp. FPU101. RNAcentral describes it as "bacterial SSU rRNA". The stretch from base 1 to 1468 matches the Rfam family "Bacterial small subunit ribosomal RNA". Lineage: Bacteria; Bacillati; Cyanobacteriota; Cyanophyceae; Chroococcales; Chroococcaceae. The record is from RNAcentral.
GAUGAACGCUGGCGGCGUGCCUAACACAUGCAAGUCGAACGGACUUCUUCGGAAGUUAGUGGCGGACGGGUGAGUAACGCGUAAGAAUCUACCUUCAGGAUGGGGACAACAGUUGGAAACGACUGCUAAAACCCGAUGUGCCGCAAGGUGAAAUAUUAAUAGCCUGAAGAAGAGCUUGCGUCUGAUUAGCUAGUUGGUGGGGUAAGAGCCUACCAAGGCGACGAUCAGUAGCUGGUCUGAGAGGAUGAGCAGCCACACUGGGACUGAGACACGGCCCAGACUCCUACGGGAGGCAGCAGUGGGGAAUUUUCCGCAAUGGGCGAAAGCCUGACGGAGCAACGCCGCGUGAGGGAGGAAGGCUCUUGGGUUGUAAACCUCUUUUGCUUGGGAAGAAGAUCUGACGGUACCAAGCGAAUCAGCAUCGGCUAACUCCGUGCCAGCAGCCGCGGUAAUACGGAGGAUGCAAGCGUUAUCCGGAAUUAUUGGGCGUAAAGCGUCCGCAGGUGGUCGUUCAAGUCGGCUGUCAAAGGUUGAAGCUUAACUUCAAAAAGGCAGUGGAAACUGAACAACUAGAGGUCAGUAGGGGUAGCAGGAAUUCCCAGUGUAGCGGUGAAAUGCGUAGAGAUUGGGAAGAACAUCGGUGGCGAAAGCGUGCUACUGGGCUGAAUCUGACACUGAGGGACGAAAGCUAGGGGAGCAAAAGGGAUUAGAUACCCCUGUAGUCCUAGCCGUAAACGAUGGAAACUAGGCGUGGCUUGUAUCGACCCGAGCCGUGCCGAAGCUAACGCGUUAAGUUUCCCGCCUGGGGAGUACGCACGCAAGUGUGAAACUCAAAGGAAUUGACGGGGGCCCGCACAAGCGGUGGAGUAUGUGGUUUAAUUCGAUGCAACGCGAAGAACCUUACCAAGGCUUGACAUGUCGCGAAUCCCGAUGAAAGUUGGGAGUGCCGUAAGGAGCGCGAACACAGGUGGUGCAUGGCUGUCGUCAGCUCGUGUCGUGAGAUGUUGGGUUAAGUCCCGCAACGAGCGCAACCCUCGUCCUUAGUUGCCAGCAUGUAAAGAUGGGCACUCUGAGGAGACUGCCGGUGACAAACCGGAGGAAGGUGGGGAUGACGUCAAGUCAGCAUGCCCCUUACGCCUUGGGCGACACACGUACUACAAUGGUUGAGACAAUGGGCAGCGAACUUGCGAAAGUCAGCGAAUCCCAUCAAACUCAGCCUCAGUUCAGAUUGCAGGCUGCAACUCGCCUGCAUGAAGGAGGAAUCGCUAGUAAUCGCCGGUCAGCAUACGGCGGUGAAUCCGUUCCCGGGCCUUGUACACACCGCCCGUCACACCAUGGAAGCUGGCCACGCCCGAAGUCGUUACCCUAACCCAUUUAUGGGAGGGGGAUGCCGAAGGCAGGGCUAGUGACUGGGGUGAAGUCGUAACAAGGUAGCCGUACCGGAAGGUGUGGCUGGAUCACCUCCUUUUAGGGAGACCCAACUCGCUUUUGAUUUAGCCAAAACUAAAAUAAUUGCUAAAAAAAGCUGAGAUAUCCCAAGGUCGUGACAAGGGUGAAGAAACAGUUAAACGUCAAAAGGCUUUCAAACUUUGUCAAUGGGCAAGAGGAAAAAACGGGCUAUUAGCUCAGGUGGUUAGAGCGCACCCCUGAUAAGGGUGAGGUCCCUGGUUCAAGUCCAGGAUAGCCCAGACAGUUAUUGAGUCACUCAUUAAAAACUACUAUCAAUCACUUGACAAAAAUCAAAAAGAAGUGAUAGGAUGAGACUCCAUGACUAAAAACAACUCCAAAAAAUUCAGCACCGAUUCUGAAAAAGUUCAGAAAGAAUGCUGGAUUUGAAAAAAGUCCAGACAGCACCAUGAAAACUGCAUAAAGAAAAAGAGAAAAAG